Non-coding RNA from Phascolarctos cinereus (koala), 2803 nucleotides. The record is from RefSeq and is a predicted model, not a curated record. NCBI's taxonomy places the organism in Eukaryota, Metazoa, Chordata, Mammalia, Diprotodontia, Phascolarctidae.
UUGAGAAGAGGAAAUACCACCACUGUGCAGCCAAGCUGUGCUGAGGACUGAUUGAAAGAAACUGCUGCUCCAGAUGUUGCUCUAGCCGGCUUGCGAAGUGUGAGCAGGAACAGACUGACUCCAUCAACUGGGCUCUCCCUGUUUAGAGACAAGACUGCUUGAAGCAAUUAGGUUCACCAAUUAGCAUAGUUUUACUGACCCGGGCAACAGCAGCGCUGGCUUCUCAGAUUAUCCGCUUCUUCAAAGUCCCGGGAAAAAGGAGGAAAACAUGCUUCCCAGGUGUGCCAGGCAGGAGACGAGCCUACAAACAGGAUUUUUAGGAACUCUGGACAAGAACUAGACAUGUGAGAGAAGAAAGUUCUCAAUCAAUCAAUCAACAUUUGUUAAACACCUGCUUGGUGCAAAACACCGUCCUGGGGAUCAUUCUAAUACAUAUUCUAUGGGCACAUAGUAGAGAGUCCUCUGCUUCUCCUUGUAUUCUGAAAGCAACAAUGGCUUAAAAAAAACAACAACCCAAAAAACAAAUACUAAUUCUUUCAGAAGUGUUUUCCCAGCUACAGAUGUGAAAUAGGCCAGUAUACAAAUCUAUUUGUUUCCCUUCUGUAGUGUUGAAAAUUAUAUUGAUUUAGUGUUCUCAAGUUAUACUUUUUAUGUAAUUAGUGGUGUAGUAAAAACUAAUAUUGUCAUGUGCUAACGUCUUUUCUUCCCCUGUUGUUCUAUGGAGCUGUUCCAUGCAAUAUCAGCAAGUUUACACUUUUCUUGUGUUUUUCUGAAAGCGAAGAGGAACAUCUGUUUCAAUUAUAUAUCUGCAUCAUAAUUAUAACAAUUAAAGAGCUGCCAUGAUUCUCCUGAAAAAGAAAUGUGGCCUCUGAAUACUCAUGGGAACUAGAAUAGAGGAAAUGAUGUUCCAUUCAUAUAAUGAGAUGAGAAAUUGAAGUUCUACAUGUUUAAAUGAUUCCUGUGUGAUGGCUAGUGUUCAUAAAAGCUUCAAUUCAAACUACCUCCUGAUAAACCCAGUGUUUUUGCCUGCCAUAUUUUUACUCUGAAAAAUUUAAUUCAUUCUUAGUCCAGAUGAGUAAGCUUGAGUCAUAAUGUUCAAGCUGCACAAUGGAAAAGGAGCCCUGUCAGUGGAGGCAAGGGAUUUACAAACUGCUGUAAAAUCAUGACUUCUCUCUAACUGAUGUUUCAAGACCAGAGAAUUGAUUUGAUAAAUUAACUACUUGCGUACUUCUGAAAGCAGAGGCUUGGAAGACUAUAAAGCACAAAUCCUUGUCUGCAGAAAAGAUGAAACUACUUAAGCAACUUCUCUCCCCAGUUUUUCCCCUCCCCAUAGAAGGCCUCUAUUAUAACAAAUAAGUACAGGGAACAAAACCAUUCUAUGAAUUGGAAGCAUCUCUAGAUCAUCACCUCUCAGCCAAGAGGUUCAUUUUUCUAAUGAAAACCACAGGGGCAGUGUCUACACUGGCAAGAUGCAGUAGAGAACCAAGCAAUCUGGUAAAGAAAUCAUCAUCAUUUUGAUUCUUCAUCCUGACAAAAUAUUUCAAUAGAUCAAGUUGAAUGCUCAGUGGUGAUGACUCUUUCCUGCAAAAUAUCACCAAUAAUGAACAAGCCAACAGCCCUGGAGAUGGUGGGUCACAAAGGUUGGAGAAAAAGGGAUAAAGCAAGGAAUUUCAUCAGAAUUGUAUAAGUGGAAUUAUGUGGAGAUUUCCCAUUUCAUGGACCUUUGCUAGUUUGCUCCCAUCCAUUUUCUUCAGAAAAGCUCAAGAAUCAUAUUUAUUACCUGAAGAAUGGAAGUCAUUUGCCAUUAUCUUCCCUUUAUAAGAUUUCUUGGGAGCAUGAACACAUAUCUACAUGAGACAAAUUGGGCGGACAUGAGUAGAGGGAUAGAAGAAGAAAUCCCAACAGCUUUCUCAAGCCUCCCAAGUGGGCCUUCAUAGUAUGGCUUCAUUAUUUCAUUUACAGCAUCGUGAAUUCACAGCUGCCAGACAAAUCCAUACCAAAAUUGGCGGUGACCCUAGCUAGGUGCUUGAAGCCAGUGCCAGAUGAACACAAGCUCUGACAGUUUCUACCAAGGUUCUGAAUAUGCCCCAGCAACAUAUUGUACGUCUGUCACCUUAGGAACAGCAUAGCUAAAUUUGGAAAGUCUCAUCUCCAGAAGGUUGGCUACCAGAUGAGGAAGCUCAUACUCAGAGAGGAUGCCUUGCCCAAGGUCAUGUGACUAGGAAGUGGAUGAGCUUGGGCUGGAAAUCAGGUCUUCUGACUUCACAUCCAAUGUUCUUUUCAUUAUAGCACACUUGACUGAGUUCUUUCAAGUUGAAGCCCAUAUGUUCUCAAGUUACUAAUAACUGUAUUUAUUUGGAUAUAGAUGAAAUAGCUGUUUUAUUUGCCCUGUACAGACUUGCCCAUGUUGGUAACUACACACUGAAAUUGAUCACUUGUGAAUGACUUUGGAAAACUAAAUGGACAUGUUUGACAACUCCAGUUGUCUGGCAAAAGUUUUUCAAAGACAAUCUAAGAGGAUCAGAUGAACAUCCCACUGAAGAGCAAUAAGAUGGAUUUCCAGUACUCUAGCCCAUAGGAUUAUGAAUUUAUAGUAAAACUCUUUUCCUACAGUGUAUCUGGACUAACAUCAUUUCGUAAAAACAUGUAUUACAGAAAUUGAACAGUUACUCUGAGAAACUGAUUUCUGAAGCAUUCUAUUCUGUUUGAGCAGUGGUGGGAGAGGAAACCUGUCACUUUUCAGUUUCCUUUCCCCUUGUUAGCAUAUGGGAUGCAAAAAAACUCAAUAAAAUUUCAAGAAAUA